This 396-nucleotide ribosomal RNA is filed under the name uncultured bacterium. Its description in RNAcentral is "partial 16S ribosomal RNA". It matches the Rfam family "Bacterial small subunit ribosomal RNA", at positions 523 to 918 of the family's 1533-position model. The record is from RNAcentral.
AUACGUAGGUGACAAGCGUUAUCCGGAUUUACUGGGCGUAAAGGGCGUGUAGGCGGUCUUGCAAGUCAGAAGUGAAAUUCCUGAGCUCAACUCGGGCGCUGCUUCUGAAACUGCAGGACUUGAGUGCUGGAGGGGAUAGCGGAAUUCCUAGUGGAGCGGUAAAAUGCGCAGAUAUUAGGAAGAACACCGGUGGCGAAGGCGGCUAUCUGGACAGUAACUGACGCUGAGGCGCGAAAGCGUGGGGAGCAAACAGGAUUAGAUACCCUGGUAGUCCACACUGUAAACGAUGAUUACUAGGUGUGGGGGGUCUGACCCCCUCCGUGCCGCAGUUAACGCAAUAAGUAAUCCACCUGGGGAGUACGACCGCAAGGUUGAAACUUAAAGGAAUUGACGGGG